Molecule: ribosomal RNA, 301 nt
Filed under: uncultured bacterium
Lineage: Bacteria
Description: partial 16S ribosomal RNA
Rfam family: Bacterial small subunit ribosomal RNA
Source: RNAcentral
CAGCCGCCGCGGUAAUACAGAGGGUGCGAGCGUUAAUCGGAUUUACUGGGCGUAAAGCGUGCGUAGGCGGCUUUUUAAGUCGGAUGUGAAAUCCCUGAGCUUAACUUAGGAAUUGCAUUCGAUACUGGGAAGCUAGAGUAUGGGAGAGGAUGGUAGAAUUCCAGGUGUAGCGGUGAAAUGCGUAGAGAUCUGGAGGAAUACCGAUGGCGAAGGCAGCCAUCUGGCCUAAUACUGACGCUGAGGUACGAAAGCAUGGGGAGCAAACAGGAUUAGAUACCCGGGUAGUCCCUGUCUCUUAUAA